CGGCACGGGUGAGUAACACGUAUCCAACCUGCCGUCUACUCUUGGACAGCCUUCUGAAAGGAAGAUUAAUACAAGAUGGCAUCAUGAGUUCACAUGUUCACAUGAUUAAAGGUAUUCCGGUAGACGAUGGGGAUGCGUUCCAUUAGGCAGUUGGCGGGGUAACGGCCCACCAAACCGACGAUGGAUAGGGGUUCUGAGAGGAAGGUCCCCCACAUUGGUACUGAGGCACGGACCAA
Molecule: ribosomal RNA, 236 nt
Filed under: uncultured bacterium
Lineage: Bacteria
Description: partial 16S ribosomal RNA
Rfam family: Bacterial small subunit ribosomal RNA
Source: RNAcentral